RNAcentral lists this ribosomal RNA (273 nucleotides) under uncultured bacterium. RNAcentral's name for it is "partial 16S ribosomal RNA". It matches the Rfam family "Bacterial small subunit ribosomal RNA", at positions 524 to 796 of the family's 1533-position model. The record is from RNAcentral.
UACGGAGGGGGUUAGCGUUGUUCGGAAUUACUGGGCGUAAAGCGUACGUAGGCGGACUGGAAAGUUGGGGGUGAAAUCCCGGGGCUCAACCCCGGAACUGCCUCCAAAACUUCCAAUCUAGAGAUCGAGAGAGGUGAGUGGAAUUCCAAGUGUAGAGGUGAAAUUCGUAGAUAUUUGGAGGAACACCAGUGGCGAAGGCGGCUCACUGGCUCGAUACUGACGCUGAGGUACGAAAGCGUGGGGAGCAAACAGGAUUAGAAACCCUAGUAGUCC